Podarcis lilfordi (Lilford's wall lizard) is the source of this 67-nucleotide non-coding RNA. NCBI's taxonomy places the organism in Eukaryota, Metazoa, Chordata, Lepidosauria, Squamata, Lacertidae. The record is from the annotation of a GenBank genome assembly.
GGCGUGGCCUAGCGGUUAGCGUCGGGCUACAGCCUGGGAGACGAGGGUUCAAAUCCCUGCAAGGCCA